AGUGAACGCUGGCGGUAGGCCUAACACAUGCAAGUCGAACGGCAGCACAGUAAGAGCUUGCUCUUACGGGUGGCGAGUGGCGGACGGGUGAGGAAUACAUCGGAAUCUACUUUUUGGGGGGGGUUAAGGUAGGGAAACUUCCGCUAAACCCCAUUACAACCUCCGGGUAAAAGCAGGGGAUCUUCGGCCCUUGCGCGAUUGAAUAAGCCGAUGUCGGAUUAGCUAGUUGGCGGGGUAAAGGCCCACCAAGGCGACGAUCCGUAGCUGGUCUGAGAGGAUGAUCAGCCACACUGGAACUGAGACACGGUCCAGACUCCUACGGGAGGCAGCAGUGGGGAAUAUUGGACAAUGGGCGCAAGCCUGAUCCAGCCAUACCGCGUGGGUGAAGAAGGCCUUCGGGUUGUAAAGCCCUUUUGUUGGGAAAGAAAAGCAGCAGGUUAAUACCCCGCUGUUCUGACGGUACCCAAAGAAUAAGCACCGGCUAACUUCGUG
RNAcentral lists this ribosomal RNA (492 nucleotides) under uncultured bacterium. Its description in RNAcentral is "partial 16S ribosomal RNA". It matches the Rfam family "Bacterial small subunit ribosomal RNA", at positions 29 to 507 of the family's 1533-position model. The record is from RNAcentral.